RNAcentral lists this ribosomal RNA (432 nucleotides) under uncultured bacterium. RNAcentral describes it as "bacterial SSU rRNA". It matches the Rfam family "Bacterial small subunit ribosomal RNA", at positions 151 to 570 of the family's 1533-position model. The record is from RNAcentral.
UCUAACGAGUGGCUAAUUCCGCAUGGUUCCGUCUUGUCGCAUGGUGAGACGGAUAAAGCUGGGGAUCUUCGGACCUGGCGCUGGAGGAGGAGCCCGCGUCCCAUUAGCUAGUUGGUGAGGUAACGGCUCACCAAGGCUACGAUGGGUAGCCGAUCUGAGAGGAUGACCGGCCACACUGGGACUGAGAUACGGCCCAGACUCCUACGGGAGGCAGCAGUCGAGAGGCUUCGGCAAUGGGGGAAACCCUGACCGAGCGACGCCGCGUGCGGGAUGAAGGCCUUCGGGUCGUAAACCGCUGUCAGGAGGGAAGAAUCCUCCCGAGCUAAUACCUCGGGAGUUGACGGUACCUCCAGAGGAAGCUCCGGCUAACUCCGUGCCAGCAGCCCGCGGUAAUACGGAGCGUUGUUCGGAUUCACUGGGCGUAAAGGGUGU